Molecule: ribosomal RNA, 484 nt
Filed under: uncultured bacterium
Lineage: Bacteria
Description: partial 16S ribosomal RNA
Rfam family: Bacterial small subunit ribosomal RNA
Source: RNAcentral
AUUGAACGCUGGCGGCAGGCCUAACACAUGCAAGUCGAGCGGAUGAAGGGAGCUUGCUCCUGGAUUCAGCGGCGGACGGGUGAGUAAUGCCUAGGAAUCUGCCUGGUAGUGGGGGAUAACGUCCGGAAACGGGCGCUAAUACCGCAUACGUCCUGAGGGAGAAAGUGGGGGAUCUUCGGACCUCACGCUAUCAGAUGAGCCUAGGUCGGAUUAGCUAGUUGGUGGGGUAAAGGCCUACCAAGGCGACGAUCCGUAACUGGUCUGAGAGGAUGAUCAGUCACACUGGAACUGAGACACGGUCCAGACUCCUACGGGAGGCAGCAGUGGGGAAUAUUGGACAAUGGGCGAAAGCCUGAUCCAGCCAUGCCGCGUGUGUGAAGAAGGUCUUCGGAUUGUAAAGCACUUUAAGUUGGGAGGAAGGGCAGUAAGUUAAUACCUUGCUGUUUUGACGUUACCAACACAAUAAGCACCGGCUAACUUCGUG